RNAcentral lists this ribosomal RNA (253 nucleotides) under uncultured bacterium. Its description in RNAcentral is "partial 16S ribosomal RNA". It matches the Rfam family "Bacterial small subunit ribosomal RNA", at positions 524 to 776 of the family's 1533-position model. The record is from RNAcentral.
UACGUAGGGGGCUAGCGUUGUCCGGAAUCAUUGGGCGUAAAGAGCGCGUAGGCGGCUGGAGUAGUCCGGUGUGAAAUCCACAGGCUUAACCUGUGAAUGCCGCUGGAAACUGUCUGGCUAGAGUCCGGAAGGGGCGAGUGGAAUUCCUGGUGUAGCGGUGAAAUGCGCAGAUAUCAGGAGGAACACCGAUGGCGAAGGCAGGUCACUGGGCCGCAACUGACGCUGAGGAGCGAAAGCAUGGGGAGCGAACAGG